This 446-nucleotide ribosomal RNA is filed under the name uncultured bacterium. Its description in RNAcentral is "partial 16S ribosomal RNA". It matches the Rfam family "Bacterial small subunit ribosomal RNA", at positions 338 to 795 of the family's 1533-position model. The record is from RNAcentral.
CCUACGGGUGGCAGCAGUCGAGAAUCAUUCACAAUGGGGGAAACCCUGAUGGUGCGACGCCGCGUGGAGGAAUGAAGGUCUUCGGAUGUUAAGCACCUGUCAUGUGGGGGCAGAUUAAAAAGAUAGUACCACAGGAGGAAGAGACGGCUAACUCUGUGCCAGCAGCCGCGGUAAUACAGAGGUCUCAAGCGUUGUUCGGAAUCACUGGGCGUAAAGCGUGCUUAGGCUGUUUUGUAAGUCGUGUGUGAAAGGCGCGGGCUCAACCCGCGUACUGCACAUGAUACUGCGAGACUAGAGUAAUGGAGGGGGAACCGGAAUUCUCGGUGUAGCAGUGAAAUGCGUAGAUAUCGAGAGGAACACUCGUGGCGAAGGCGGGUUCCUGGACAUUAACUGACGCUGAGGUACGAAGGCCAGGGGAGCGAAAGGGAUUAGAUACCCUUGUAGUC